RNAcentral lists this ribosomal RNA (490 nucleotides) under uncultured bacterium. RNAcentral's name for it is "partial 16S ribosomal RNA". It matches the Rfam family "Bacterial small subunit ribosomal RNA", at positions 30 to 507 of the family's 1533-position model. The record is from RNAcentral.
AUUGAACGCUGGCGGCAGGCCUAACACAUGCAAGUCGAACGGUAACAGGAAGAAGCUUGCUUCUUUGCUGACGAGUGGCGGACGGGUGAGUCAUGUCUGGGAAACUGCCUGAUGGAGGGGGAUAACUACUGGAAACGGUAGCUAAUACCGCAUAACGUCGCAAGACCAAAGAGGGGGACCUUCGGGCCUCUUGCCAUCGGAUGUGCCCAGAUGGGAUUAGCUAGUAGGUGGGGUAACGGCUAACCUAGGCGACGAUCCCUAGCUGGUCUGAGAGGAUGACCAGCCACACUGGAACUGAGACACGGUCCAGACUCCUACGGGAGGCAGCAGUGGGGAAUAUUGCACAAUGGGCGCAAGCCUGAUGCAGCCAUGCCGCGUGUAUGAAGAAGGCCUUCGGGUUGUAAAGUACUUUCAGCGGGGAGGAAGGGAGUAAAGUUAAUACCUUUACUCAUUGACGUUACCCGCAGAAGAAGCACCGGCUAACUCCGUG